UACUCUUGACAUCCAGAGAACUUAGCAGAGAUGCUUUGGUGCCUUCGGGAACUCUGAGACAGGUGCUGCAUGGCU
This 75-nucleotide ribosomal RNA is filed under the name uncultured Enterobacteriaceae bacterium. Its description in RNAcentral is "partial 16S ribosomal RNA". Lineage: Bacteria; Pseudomonadati; Pseudomonadota; Gammaproteobacteria; Enterobacterales; Enterobacteriaceae. The record is from RNAcentral.